Talpa occidentalis (Iberian mole) is the source of this 364-nucleotide long non-coding RNA. RefSeq lists it as uncharacterized. Lineage: Eukaryota; Metazoa; Chordata; Mammalia; Eulipotyphla; Talpidae. The transcript has 4 exons. The record is from RefSeq and is a predicted model, not a curated record.
AUAGGAUCAAUAAGACUGCGUCUUAGUCUGCCUGAAUGAUUGUGGCCAGUAUAAAAUCCUGAGGAAUGUCUACAGUUUUUCAAAAGGGUGCAAACAGGUUGAAGACAGGAGCUAUCUUUAAUGGAAUCUGAACAGUGCCUAACCCCUGUGGAUAUCAGCUGAAUGUUAAAUAACAACAGUGAUCAGAUAAGAAAGGCUGGAGCAGAAACAAGGCCUGUGCAUUUUAUGGCACUUCACAAGUGGUAUCUUUGAGAUAUGCCCUGCUGCCUAAUCUGGACACUGGCAAUAAGGUGGAAGCUAGUAGGAAUAACACACAUUGGCAGCCAGGGAUUUUGAAGGUAGCUGGAUUUUCAGAGUGGAUACA